AUUGAACGCUGGCGACAUGCCUAACACAUGCAAGUCGAACGAGUGGCGGACGGGUGAGUAAUUUCUGGGAAACUGCCUCAUGGAGGGGGCUAACUACUGGAACCGGUAGCUAAUACCGCAUACCAUCGGAUGUGCCCAGAUGGGAUUAGCUAUUCGGUGGGGUAAAGGCUCACCUAAGCGACGAUCCCUAGCUGGUCUGAGAGGAGGACCAGCCACACUGGAGCGGAGCCACGGGCCAGACGCCUACGGGAGGCAGCAGUGGGGAAUAUUUGACAAUGGGCGAAAGCCUGAUGCAGCCAUGCCGCGUGUAUGAAGAAGGCCUUCGGGUUGUAAAGUACUUUCAGCGGGGAGGCGUUACCCGCAGAAGAAGCACCGGCUAACUCCGUGCCAGCAGCCGCGGUAAUUC
Molecule: ribosomal RNA, 406 nt
Filed under: uncultured bacterium
Lineage: Bacteria
Description: partial 16S ribosomal RNA
Rfam family: Bacterial small subunit ribosomal RNA
Source: RNAcentral